GUCCACGCCCUAAACGAUGUCAACUAGUUGUCGGGACUUCAUUGUUUUGGUAACGCAGCUAACGCGAGAAGUUGACCGCCUGGGGAGUACGGUCGCAAGAUUAAAACUCAAAGGAAUUGACGGGGACCCGCACAAGCGGUGGAUGAUGUGGAUUAAUUCGAUGCAACGCGAAAACCUUACCUACCCUUGACAUGGUUCGAACCCUUAAGAGAUUAGGGGGUGCUCGCAAGAGAGCGGACACACAGGUGCUGCAUGGCUGUCGU
This 263-nucleotide ribosomal RNA is filed under the name uncultured bacterium. Its description in RNAcentral is "partial 16S ribosomal RNA". It matches the Rfam family "Bacterial small subunit ribosomal RNA", at positions 793 to 1055 of the family's 1533-position model. The record is from RNAcentral.